This 274-nucleotide ribosomal RNA is filed under the name uncultured bacterium. RNAcentral describes it as "partial 16S ribosomal RNA". It matches the Rfam family "Archaeal small subunit ribosomal RNA", at positions 473 to 747 of the family's 1478-position model. The record is from RNAcentral.
AAACCAGCACCUCAAGUGGUCAGGAGGAUUAUUGGGCCUAAAGCAUCCGUAGCCUGUUCUAUAAGUUUCCGGUUAAAUCCACUAGCUCAACUAGUGGGCUGCCGAAAAUACUGUAGAACUAGGGAGUGGGAGAGGUAGACGGUAUUCGGUAGGAAGGGGUAAAAUCCUUUGAUCUAUUGAGGACCACCUGUGGCGAAGGCGGUCUACCAGAACACGUUCGACGGUGAGGGAUGAAAGCUGGGGGAGCAAACAGGAUUAGAAACCCGAGUAGUCC